CAUGCAAGAAGACCCAGGCCACCCUGUCGGUUCACCUGCGCAGGGUGUGCAUGAAAAAUACAACACCGGAGGCAAUCGCUAAGGUGGUGGAAAAGGCAAAGGCAGUUUCUCUGGAGAUUCUGCAGAGUGGCGUAGUCUUCAGUUAUGGACAAUUGGCCAAGAUCAUGUUGGACCCCAGUCCCAUCAACAGCUUGAUUGAGGAAUUGGAGCAUCGCCACAUGGUGGUGACAGACAUUCCUCUAGCACGGGCAAGGGCACCGAUGCCUUCCACCGACACGACUCCACAGCCAGCCACCGUCGUCACGACCCCAGAACCACCAGCUGUGGCAGAGACAGAGGAGACUGAGCCCUCUGAGGUUGGCAGUGACAGCAGCAGCGAGACCUUUCAGAUCGAGCCCAACAUGCAGUGGAAGAAUCAAGCAAGGAAGCUGAUGGCAGAGAAGGGACUAUAUCAGAAACACUCCCUGGAUCAUCCGCUCCUGGAGAAAGACCUCCAGAAUUAAAAUUUCAAGCAGGAGAAAACGUUUCCAGUUUCCUUCACUUCAUGGACCCAAAACAGCCGUCCCUGUUGUUUGUGAGGAACAGGGAGAAAUCAAAGCUGUUUCUGCGUGAGCUCACUGAGGCCAAGUUGACCAAACAGACUCAGCUCAACUACCUCAAGAGCCUGAAAAGAUUUCUCCAGUACCACAUGGUCAACACGGACCUCAUACACAGCGACGAACAGCUCCACAAAGACUGCAAACACUUCAUAGAGUACAUCGGGUCCUUGCAGAAAGGCUGUUCGAAGUUGGUCAGCAAAGAAAUCAUCCAGAAGCGGAAAGAUAUGCUGACGCAGCCAGGGCAGCUCACACCAAGAGACUGCUGGACUGUGCUUGAUAAGGCCAAAAGAGACUUCCUUGCUGUCAUUGCUAAGGUGUUCCCGGAGAGAGGCUUUGAGGAAACACUGGCUAUGUCGGAGUGUACUCUGGUUCUCUACUACCUGGAGGCUGUGGUUAUUCUCAAGCAUCUCCAGCGGCCGGGAGUGGUCGAGCACUUGCAGUGUUUUAUUGCAGUGUCUGCAUUGUUUACCUGUCACUUUUUCACUCUGUUUAACCAGUGUUGUAUUCUUGCUUGUUUUAGGUGGAUGAAUGGAUAUCAAGAACGGCAAAUCCCAAUGGGGACGGGGCCGUUAUCGGCGUAAAAGAGCAGAAAACAUCAGCUCAACAAGUGGCAACGUUUGUUCUGUAGGGCG
Molecule: long non-coding RNA, 1231 nt
Organism: Triplophysa dalaica
Lineage: Eukaryota; Metazoa; Chordata; Actinopteri; Cypriniformes; Nemacheilidae
Exons: 6
Source: RefSeq, a predicted model, not a curated record